RNAcentral lists this ribosomal RNA (492 nucleotides) under uncultured bacterium. Its description in RNAcentral is "partial 16S ribosomal RNA". It matches the Rfam family "Bacterial small subunit ribosomal RNA", at positions 29 to 507 of the family's 1533-position model. The record is from RNAcentral.
AGUGAACGCUGGCGGUAGGCCUAACACAUGCAAGUCGAACGGCAGCACAGUAAGAGCUCGCUUUUACGGGUGGCGAGUGGCGGACGGGUGAGGAAUACAUCGGCAUCUACUUUUUCGUGGGGGAUAACGUAGGGACACUUACGCUAAUACCGCAUACGACCUACGGGUGAAAGCAGGGGAUCUUCGGACCUUGCGCGAUUGAAUGAGCUGAUGUCGGAUUAGCUAGUUGGCGGGGUAAAGGCCCACCAAGGCGACGAUCCGUAGCUGGUCUGAGAGGAUGAUCAGCCACACUGGAACUGAGACACGGUCCAGACUCCUACGGGAGGCAGCAGUGGGGAAUAUUGGACAAUGGGCGCAAGCCUGAUCCAGCCAUACCGCGUGGGUGAAGAAGGCCUUCGGGUUGUAAAGCCCUUUUGUUGGGAAAGAAAAGCAGCAGGUUAAUACCCCGCUGUUCUGACGGUACCCAAAGAAUAAGCACCGGCUAACUUCGUG